This 274-nucleotide ribosomal RNA is filed under the name uncultured bacterium. Its description in RNAcentral is "partial 16S ribosomal RNA". It matches the Rfam family "Bacterial small subunit ribosomal RNA", at positions 523 to 796 of the family's 1533-position model. The record is from RNAcentral.
AUACGAAAGGUGCAAGCGUUGUUCGGAUUUACUGGGCGUAAAGAGAGUGUAGGUUGUUUAUUAAGUCGGAUGUGAAAUCCCGGGGCUCAGCCUCGGAACUGCAUUCGAUACUGAUAGGCUAGAGUUUGGGAGGGGUAAGCGGAAUUCCGUGUGUAGCAGUGAAAUGCGUAGAUAUACGGAGGAACACCUGAGGCGAAGGCGGCUUACUGGACCAAUACUGACACUGAGACUCGAAAGCGUGGGUAGCAAACAGGAUUAGAAACCCCAGUAGUCC